This 1739-nucleotide long non-coding RNA is filed under the name Arabidopsis thaliana (thale cress). Its description in RNAcentral is "ncRNA (AT5G09030)". The record is from RNAcentral. Lineage: Eukaryota; Viridiplantae; Streptophyta; Magnoliopsida; Brassicales; Brassicaceae.
CAUGGAUCUAUAUGCUGAACACGCCUCUAUUACUUUCCCCUUUUUGCAAUACUCAUUGAUCAAACCCGUGCAAAGAACCUUAUUUGGAAGUACGCCACAUUCCCGCAUCUCUUUCACAUACUUAUCUGCAGAUGCAAAUUCACUUGCCUCUAUAUAUCCACUGAUAAAAGCCCCAUAGGUGAAAGCAUUAGGCUUUAAUCCGUUCUCGACCAUUUCAACCAGAAAAGACCUUGCUUCGUCCAUUCUUUUAGCUUUUGAAAGGCCAAUUAUAAGGGAAUUGUAGCAAAAUAUGUCUGGUGCGAUUCCUUGUUCUUUCAUUUCUUUUAACACCCUCAUUGCAUCUCCAAACCUACUAUUCUGGAGAAAGGUUUUGAUCAAUGUGGUAUAUAUAACCACAUUGGGUCUGCAACCACUUGCAAUCAUUUCCUUCACAAUGUUAUAAGCUCCAUCGAGAUCCCCAGAAGAGCACAUGCCUUUCACCACUGUACCAUAAGUAUAUGGAGAUAUGACAAUGUUCCUCUUUUUCAUUUCAACAAGUAACUCAUAACCCUGACGUACAUUCUUUUCUCGACAGUAUCCUUCGAUCAGACUAGCAUAAGCCUGAGCCUGUGGUAUCAGUCCGGAUGCGAUCAUUCCAUCAAAGAGAGCCUUUGCCUUCUCCAUCACCCCUUCCUUUGACAUCACACAAAUACAACAAUCAUACAUAUAAGGUUUGAUGUUAAUACCAUGUGAAACCAUCUCAUGGACUAGUCCUUUCGCAGCAUCUGCAUUUCUACCCUUCAGUAAGCCAUCAAUCAGUAAACUAUAAGUAUGAUUAUCAAGAGACACACCUAAACUAUCCAUCUCUACCAGCAACGAUUUAGCAUCUUCUAGUCUCUUUAUCUUACACAACCCAUCUAUAAGUACAUCGUAUGUAUACUUCAAUGGCACCAAUCCUUUGCAAAUCAUCGACUCCUUAAGCUUAAGUGCUCCAUCCACAUUCAAAGUAGCCGUCCUGAAUUCUUUUUCCGUUUUAAAAAGAACAUCUUUCCCCAACUGAACAUUCCCAGCCCUACAAUGAGCAAUAAUCAACAUAUGAUAGGUCUUAACAUCAAAUACUACAUUUCUCUCAACCAUCCCCUUAUACACAUCCCAAAACAAAUCCAGCCGGUUCCACCUCAACAACGCAUCCAACAAAACUUUACAUCGUGACAAACGAGGAACCAAUUCCAAACCCAUAGAGCUAGAAAACACAAACACAGCUUCUUCUAUAUACCCUUUUGCAAUGUAUCCAUCAAACAAUAUCCCAAAUAGAACUCCAUCAUCACUCUUUCCCACAAACUCUUGUGAACAUCUCACAAUCGAACUCCAAACCUCAGCUACAGGCCAAUUUCUCUCAAUCAUCCGUUCUACAACACUAAGAGCUUUCUCAAAACUACCGAAAUUACACAAAUCCAAAGCGAGAAACGAAAACGAAUCCAAUUUCUGCUCUGUGACUUUUUGAGAAUCGACCCAGUUGAAGAAACUCAAAAGCUUAGAGGGAUCAUCGACGCGUUUGGAUCGUAAAACGGAGAGAACUACUUCUGGAUUUAUCUCGAUUGAAAGAUUCGAAGAUACCAGAGUGUCACGCCAGUUCUCUUGCUUGAGAAUUCCCGCUAUUUCAGCUGAUGCGUCGGAAAGUUUCUCAACGUUAACGGAAAACGACCGGAAAAGUAAAAAAUUCGCUCUCGUGACCAAAGUUCUCUUCCUGAACAACAUCG